RNAcentral lists this long non-coding RNA (1295 nucleotides) under Olea europaea subsp. europaea. The record is from RNAcentral. Lineage: Eukaryota; Viridiplantae; Streptophyta; Magnoliopsida; Lamiales; Oleaceae.
CUAAAAUUGUGCAGUUUUCCAGGGCGUUAAUGAGAUUUUUCUAAGUCCCGACCCAGCUAUUUUGGGAGGAAAAAUACAUGAACCUGCAGCGGGAUAUUUUGGGAUGCAAGUAGGCAACUUGCACAACUUGUCCACUUGUGCCACUUGCAAGAUAUUAUCAAAGAUAAAAGUUAAGUGCGAGUUGGCGAAGAUAUUAUCAAAGGUACAAGUUGAGCACGAGUUGGCAAGAAUAAUAUCUACUAUGCAAGCUAAGAUCGAGUUGGCGACAACUUGCAAGGAAAGUUGUAAGUUUAUCCACUUGACGACAACUAAGCAUGAGUUGUAAACAACUAGCACGAGUUGUGACCAACUAAGCAUAGGUUGUAAAGUAAUGCAACUUGAUCUUAAGGAGGUUUAAGUUUUGCCUAUAAAUAGAGAUGGAAGUCUCAUUUGUAAAUCAUGUAGAGUUGAGUGAGUUUAUUCAUUAGAGAGAUUGUAAAUUUUUCCCUUUCAUAUAUACAAAGAAAGCUUCCCAACCUUACUUGUUUUCCAUAUAUCCCUUACUUCAAAAUUCUCUUCUCAACGUGGGUAUAAUUUAGCCUCCUUGAUUAAAUUAUUUGUGAACGUGGAAAGGUUAACUUAACGUUUUCUCGUGAGGUGCGGGAAUUGUCAAGCGUUAAGGCUGCACGGUUCUAGUUGUUCGGGUGUAACGAAACUAGGUCCGUGACAAGUGGUAUCAGAGCCUCGUCUGUAGGCCGUUACAAUGGCGGAAUCUCGAGAAACUGUUGAUAUUGAGAUUGAGGAGAGGGGUCGAGGUGUUGCCCAAACUGAAGUAAGGAAAACUCAAGGUAAAAGUAAGGUGAGGGAGGCCACCAACAUGAAAGGUAAACUUAACCAAAUCAUCUCAAAUAUGGGUGAUCGGGUCGAAUCUCUUAAAAGCUCCUUCGAGGCGUUGGAGGGACACGCCAUUGGAAAGCUAGAAACUCUACAAAUUAAUGUCCAAGAGGUGAUGGACACACAAUCAUCGUUGGAAAAUGAUGUCCAAACGAUGAUAGAUGAUGUUCGAGCUGUGGUAGCCGGACAAGCCGCGGUUACGGAUGAUUUUGGUCGUCUCCAAACCAAAGUCUUGGAUGCCGUUUCCGCCAUGCAUGGCCAAGUUAACCAAUUGGCUGUGAUGAUGGAAAGAAUGAGCAAAGAGCUUGAGCAAUACAAGCACUCCACUGCCGGUACAAGCGGAGGUGCCGCUUCAACUAUUGUUGCCCCGAGGAUUGAAUACCCGAAGCCUAAAAAUUAUGAUGGGCGACGGGAUGCCAAAG